CCACAAAAGGCAUUGGAAUCAAUUGGAAAAACUUUGAGCUGUCAGUAUGAAAGAUGGCAACCAAAGGCCCGCUAUAAAUGUCAACUUGAUCCAACAGUGGAUGAGGUGAAGAAGCUUUGUACUACAUGUCGUAGAUAUGCAAAGUCGGAAAGAGUUUUAUUCCAUUACAAUGG
Molecule: non-coding RNA, 173 nt
Organism: Cajanus cajan (pigeon pea)
Lineage: Eukaryota; Viridiplantae; Streptophyta; Magnoliopsida; Fabales; Fabaceae
Source: RefSeq, a predicted model, not a curated record